RNAcentral lists this long non-coding RNA (2415 nucleotides) under Prunus persica (peach). Its description in RNAcentral is "long non-coding RNA (PPER_LNC006178)". The record is from RNAcentral. Lineage: Eukaryota; Viridiplantae; Streptophyta; Magnoliopsida; Rosales; Rosaceae.
UUCAAACCUCCAUAACCACCGCCACACUCCACUCCAACCGACGGGACCGGACCCAAUCGAACCACCGCCGCUUCCUCUUCCUUUCCCGACCGGUCCCUGCCCUUGGAACCGCUGUUUUUCGCCGAAAAAAUCUCGGAAUCGCGCCGGAGUUGACAGAACUUUCAAGCUUUUGUUCUCCUUCAUCCGGCCACCAAAUCGGACGAGUGAGGUAUGGUUUUCUAGCUAUUUUCCAUGCUCUAGCUGCUGGUUGGGUAGGAUUCCAGAAAUUCCAAGCAUAGAUCGUUCGAUUUUCCAAUCUAGGUUUCAGCUGAUUUUGAAAGUGUGAUUCCGGCCAUUUCCGGCCACUUUUUGGGAUAGGUCCAAGAACAAAAGUGGUUCCAAAAUGGGUGUUUUACCUAAGUUAGGAGUUUGGGCCGGCGGUUUGGAGUUUCUGACCGCCAGGAAUUUCUCAAGCCACCCACGCGUUGCCGCGCAUGUGGCGGCGCGUGGGCAGUUUGGUGGGGACCACACUCAGUCCUAAAAUGAUCCUUGUGUUGUCACGAGCGCGUAGGAAUUUGCGAAUCUUAAUUUGGAUAAUGUUUGAACCCUGAACGGAUUUCGCAUCUUGUGUGAUUUCCGGGUUCAAUGGGUUUGAACCUUUGUUCGUGUGUUUGUGACCAAACCAACUGUCCGUUUGAGACCAAACUGUUGGGACUUGUGUCCUAGGUUUAACGGAAUGUUAAUGUGGGCAUAGGAGUAACUUUAAUUGGAUGCACGCACUUCUAGGAGUUGGGGGUUAGGGUUUUAUUUAAAUAUUUAUAUAGAGCAAUUUUAUUAAUAUAUAUUAUUAUGAUAAUUGAAUCAGGCACCCGGGCACCAGUUGACCCGCAGGAGGGACCUUCAAGAAGUCCAGCGAGCUCGGACCAGUUGUGAGUGGACUUUUCUUUUAUAAAUGAUUUUAUGCCAAUGAGUUUCAUUAUUUGAUCUUGAAUAAGUUUUAUUGAUUAUGAUUUUCCUAGCAUGAUUUGUUGAAGUUAAAUAUCUUUAUUUAUAUGCUGCCUAGUUGAAAAUGCUAAAAAGAUAUGAAAAGUAAAGAUUGAGAUAUAUAUCAGAUAAAAUGGCAGCAGAGUUCUAGAUUUAACAAAAAUUCAGUUAUUCAUCAGACCUUUCAGAAAUUUUAUAUUUUCUUAAGCCACCUUAGGGACCCAGUUAUAGAAACAGGUUGCCUUCGGUCUAUGUUGCCUUCAGAUAUGACGAUGUCCAGGGACAUCCAGGUUGCCUUCAGUUCUGUCAGCACGCUUGACAUCUGCCUCAUGAGUUUCGAGGACGCCCGGACCGUGGGAGCCAGGAAUGCGGAUCAGGCUAACUACGGUCCCCUGAAUCCUGCCAGUUUGCGGCUCGGGUUGACUUUGUGUCACCGAGACCUACCAGGGAAAUUGACGAAUUAUCAGGAAUUGACGGAUAUCAGGAAUUGACAGAAUUUAAGGGGUACACCUAGGUGGUAGUUUUAAACUGAUUUCAGUGCUUUUAAGAGUUUAAAAAUGAUAUGAGUAUGCUUGACAUAUACUUAUAUAUAUAUAUAUAUGUAUAUGAGUGCAUUGAUUUCAGUAUUUAUAUGAUUAAAAGAAUGAAUUAGUUUUGUAUAACUGUUUUUAUAGUGGGGUUAGUAUGUCCUUAUGCUAUUUUUCUUAAAACUUUGUUUUUGGGUCCACUUACCUUUUAAAUGUUUUGCGCCCCCAGGCCGUAGACGUGCAUCUGAAAGCCACCACAGGGCAGUUUCCGCUUCUUGCAUCUCGUAAGCUUAGUGUAGGGUCCUUGACCCUCCAAAUGUUGUUCUUAUAAAUUAACCUGUAUAGAUGCUCUGAUAUUGCCCCUGGGCUCAAACUUUACUGUUGAUUGUAUAUAUUUGCAUGUUGGAAGUUGGGUUGUAUAUAUAUGCUUGUCUUGACAGGUGAAAUUUUUGGGAUUGGACAAAUUACAGGGGAGACUCUGCCGAAUUUUCGGUAAAAGUCAAGGCUAAAAUGAAAUUAAGUUUGUAACCAGAAGGGCAACCAGGUCAUUUGUGCUCGGCACUUGCCAGGUGUCGAUCACGAACAGGGUUCAGCUUGGAUUCCAAAGGAGAAUUUGGGUCGGAUUUUGUCAGGAAAGAGAUAUCGACAUUGGAGUCAAUACAACAUAAGUGAAACCCUAAAUUUUCAAGCUGUGGGGGAUCUCAUUUCUUUUUUUUUUCUUUUUUUUUUUGGGUCAAAUAACUUGGGGUGUACUUGGGCAGUGGAGUUAUGAGUUUUGUGGUUCAAGAAACGUUACAAAAUUAACCACUCUCUUGUAUUUUGUGUGUAUCGCUCACGUAUCUAGCCAUUUCCCUUGCACACCCCCUUCGCUCACAUAUUGUACGUACCUAAGCAUAUGCCAAAUAUCCACGUAUAUAACCCUGUG